Molecule: long non-coding RNA, 840 nt
Filed under: Glycine max (soybean)
Lineage: Eukaryota; Viridiplantae; Streptophyta; Magnoliopsida; Fabales; Fabaceae
Description: long non-coding RNA (GMAX_LNC003856)
Source: RNAcentral
AUUGACUAGUAGAUUGCUAAAGAUAAGGAAGGAAGGAUUCUUUACUUUUCUGGUACAUUAUUAUCGAAAUUAGUGGUUUAAGUUCAUUCACCCCAAAAAGAAAAUAUUUCUUGCUAACAAUAUUUUUAUAAGGUUUACUGGUUAGCAACCCAGUGUGUGAUUCCUCAGUUCAACAACUCUCAGCAACAUGCACAAUCCUCCCCCGCCAGGCGGUCCAGGCCCUCACCACCACCCCGGCCCACCGGCUCCGCCACUACAUGCUCAUCCAUCUCCUCCGCCUCCUGGGCCUCCACACCACCACCACGGCCCACCCGGCCCACCGCAUGCUUAUCCAACUCCUCCGCCUCCUGGGCCUCCACACCACCAUCCCGGCCCACCCGAACCAGGCUUUCAUCAACACCAUGGCCCACCCGGGCCACCGUAUGCUCAUCCAACUCCUCCGCCUCCUGGGCCACCGGGACCUCCCCCUCCAGGGCCUCCACACCACCAACACCACCGUUGCUGAUGUAAUGCAUAUGGAGCUUAUGAAUAACGAUCCUACAUAUAUAUGAUGUAAUGUUGAAUGCUUUUUAAUUUCUGAACACUUUAUAUAGCAAGGGCAAAAUUUGGUUGUGUCACUAAAUAAAAGCUUUGUAGUUCGUAGUUCCACUACUAUAGUACUACCUAUAUUUACCGUGUAUCACCGUCUGGUGCCCCUUGUGCUUUUUCUGGUGUGUAUCUUAUUAGAAUAAGAAAUAAAGGGAGGUCAUUUCUAUGUAUGUUGCACUGAUUAAAUCUAUUAUAAAGACAUUUUAAUGGUCAAAAAUUAUUUUUUUAACUUAAAGAUACAAAAUUGAAACG